AGUGAACGCUGGCGGUAGGCCUAACACAUGCAAGUCGAACGGCAGCACAGUAAGAGCUUGCUCUUACGGGUGGCGAGUGGCGGACGGGUGAGGAAUACAUCGGAAUCUACUUUUUCGUGGGGGAUAACGUAGGGAAACUUACGCUAAUACCGCAUACGACCUACGGGUGAAAGCAGGGGAUCUUCGGACCUUGCGCGAUUGAAUGAGCCGAUGUCGGAUUAGCUAGUUGGCGGGGUAAAGGCCCACCAAGGCGACGAUCCGUAGCUGGUCUGAGAGGAUGAUCAGCCACACUGGAACAGAGACACGGUCCAGACUCCUACGGGAGGCAGCAGUGGGGAAUAUUGGACAAUGGGCGCAAGCCUGAUCCAGCCAUACCGCGUGGGUGAAGAAGGCCUUCGGGUUGUAAAGCCCUUUUGUUGGGAAAGAAAAGCAGCAGGUUAAUACCCCGCUGUUCUGACGGUACACAAAGAAUAAGCACCGGCUAACUU
Molecule: ribosomal RNA, 488 nt
Filed under: uncultured bacterium
Lineage: Bacteria
Description: partial 16S ribosomal RNA
Rfam family: Bacterial small subunit ribosomal RNA
Source: RNAcentral